CUAACCUACACAGGCUAAACUUCACAGAGGGAUCCGCCGGCUGGAGGGAGAGGAGGCUGUACUAAGAGAAACACCCACUGCUGCCCACAGCGGCGUCCAGCAGCCAGGCUCUCUUGGCAGAGAUGCAGGGCGGGUCGAAAUCUCAAGGGACUGAGCCUCUCCGCUUUCAGAUUGCACCGCAGGCCACCGCCCGCACCAGCGCCGCUUUGGCCGAAGGCGGUGCGAGCUGCGGCCGGGCAGCAGGCAAGGACGUCCCCCGUGCGCGCGGAGGACGCGGACGAGGAGCUGUGUUUGCGCGGACAGAAGGUGCUGCAGGGGAAACCGAGGCCUCCAGGGCCGCAGCGCUGAGGGAGCCGGGACGGCGCCAGCCUGCCGACGCGGGGCACGAGGCUGCCGUCGGCGCCGGCCUGCUGAGUGAGCAAAGUGGAAGCGCGGGGACGCGGCGGGGGCCCGGGGCAGGGCUGAGGCCAGCGAGACAGCGCGCCGAGAGCCGGCGAGAGAGGGUGUGUGUCGGGGCGUGAGUCUGGGCGGGUGUCUGGAGGGAACGGCGAGCAGGGAGGGGCGGAGGCGGGAGGAGGGGGGAGGAGAAAGAGCGAAGGGCCCUAACGGGGUUCUGGGCGGCCAGCUGCCUGGCCCCGGGCCAUCAAGCCACCGCCCCCAGGCCUUGCGCUGACGCUGGACGGUCCCCGCCUCCAGACCCCCCGCCCCACCAGAGAAUAACUUACCUGUUUGCCCACGGAAUCGCUCCUGCUCGCCCCUCUGACUGACUCCUCCGGCUCACCGUCUUCCCUUUGGGAGGAAGAGGCGGCACUUCCUGUCUCUCCGUUGAAAGACUUCCGGCGGUUCCAAGGUGUCCGGUGAAUGGAGCUCCGGGUACCACAAUUUUAAAAACAAGAUUUUCCAAUUAUUUUAGUAAAUCCAGUUUUAGUUCCUAGUCUUUUGCACUGAGUAGCUGGUAGCUCCAUGUAUCAACUCGUUUUCGCCCAUCAGCUUUCACCGGAAGUCUAAACGAUAAAAGAGGACGUUCUACCCCUCCCUUCGAGUAAAAAAAAAAAAAAACGGAAAGCCAGAAGAGCCAAUAUAAAGAGAGACGCGCGACUGACUAAAAAACGGGAGGUGUCAUCCCGAGCGCCGCCUGACGUUUCUGGAUUGCGUCAGAGCAAGUUCUUCGUGGGCCAGUCUCGCCUCCUUCCUGACCUGCUGUCUCCACCUCGGAGGGCAGUGCCUACUUUCCCACUUCCCCUCUCCCCUGCCCUUCAGGCUCUUGUCCCUUCUGGUGCACUGAUUUAAAGAUCCGAUGAUUAUCGGCCAUGCGAGCCUUUAUACUGAGAAGAACCUAUCAAACGACAACAAAAUGGGAUCCUUACUCAGGCUGGAGGGAUCGGAGCCGAAGGCUAACACUAAUGAGAAUAAGCGGAAUACAGCUGGUGGGCCAGUUUGGCCAUGGAAAAAUGAAAACGCCUUUGGUAUUCAAAACUUUACCAUACGGGUGUACGUGAAUGUUAACACAAGAUAGUCUCAGGAAGAAAGGGUAUGGUUCAAGGAUACAUUGCUUACCGCCCUUUGCAAGUGCUUUCUCAAAUUUCAAAUUUAAAGCAGUUUCUUCUGAAACUAACAAUUUGCCAGGAGGGGUGUCUUGCUGUCUUGUUGCUGGGCCAAAAUACCUGGUGCCCAAAAUUAAAGAGGGAAAGGUUUAUGUAACUCAGUUUGUGGAGGUUUCAGGCCAUACUGGGCUGAGUCCAAAGCAGGGUGGUGUACGGCAGAGCACAACAGUUGAUGGUGGUGGAAAACAGUAAAAGCAGCAAAAGCAAACCGAAAGUUGCAUAAGGGAAGACUUUCUGUCCCUCAUAUUGUGUGUAGGUCACCCACCCUAGGAUGGGCGUAGCACUCACACCCAGAAUCCCAACACUAAACAAUGAAUCAAUCACAAACUAGAUUUAGGCCCCUCUGAAAAGCAUUCCUCCAUGACUGCAUGAGGCUUUGGAGGGACAUUCAGACAUAACAAGAGAUCUAUGUAGAUGAUGAAUAUAUCACAGCUUGAUAACUGCUGUGACAAAGUUGUUUGUAGUGAUUGAUGAUGAUAAUCCUGACACAGGGUCACCAGAGGAGCAGAGGACAAACUCACCCCUGGGCUCUUAACCUGUUACUCAGAAACAUGAUUUGUAUUUUCUUUUUAGGGAUUUAAAAAACAUUUUUUGCUAAAAACCUACCUUCACUUAGACCUGUAGAUGCCCAGUAGGAAACUAAAAACAAAGCUUGACCUUUGUUUUGUAAAACUAGAUCAAAUACUCAACUCAGUAUUAUAGGCCUGUUAGUCAUUAAUGAAAUGUCUAAAAACAAAUAACUUAGCAAAUAACUUUAUUAGCCCUAAAUUUGCUUAGCUUAUCACCCUUCAUGACUGAGAAUAGCCUUGCAGAAAAUCCCCAAUGCCUUAAAUUUGUGGUCACAUUGAACUCCAGGAGAUCUUUAAAUGACUAAUACUGCCCCAAUCAUAAGAAUUCCUCUCAGGGGAACCAAAUUACCCUCAAGCCAUCAGAAUUUGUAAUCAACUAGACCAGUGAGGGUAACACUUUUUGAACUUUAAAUGAUACAUAACACCCCACUGUAGGUUCCCCACCAUUGGAUGAGACCAUUGCCCAUCUCAGCUAAACCUUAAAAUCUGACCUGCUUUUGUGAGUAGGCCAGUCUGAUCAUCAGAAUGCUGGAGACCUUUCCUGUCUUAUCUCACUUUCCAAUUAAAGCAUUUGCCUGUAAACUAAUUUUGUCACUUUAGUUUUAGUUUCUAUUUUCACUGAAACAAUCCAAGAUAGCCACUAUUACAGGUGAGACUGAAGAUAUGACUUUUGACUUUGUUUUAUAAGCAUAGGAAACAGAUCAUAGUGGGACAUUAUCAGAUUUGCACUUAAAAAGAUAAUUCUAUAUCUUCACACACAAAUUCACACAAAACAAAAUAGUAUAAAACUGAUCAAAGCAAGAUAGUGAAAGCAUUACAGGGAUUCAAAACCAGACAAUAGGAAAACCAACAGUGGCUACCGUAAUGUAAAAAGAUAAUUCUAAGUAAAUAGGAUAAAGGUGUCCUGAAGAUAGGCUUUCUUGACCAAAUUACCUCUCAAGGCCAAUUCCAGGUAUUAUGGAUUGCUUUAGGUAAAAAUAUUACAUGCAAUCGGACAGGGCUAGGCCCUCAAGAGGUCAAUGCAAAAGACAACAGUGUCUGAACCAAACUUCAAGAAAAAAAGGAACUACUCACUCUUGUUUCUCCCUAAAGAUGAACAGCAGUGAUUGAUAUUCUAAAUAGUCAUCAAUCACCUUGGGUGAAGCACCAAACCUGCUCAACCUGCUCCUUCUAGGAAGGUUCUUGCCCAUCCAAUGUAUGCUUGCUACUUCCUAUGUGUCUUGCUUGCCAAUUUGAGCCCCAUGUAAUCAAUAUUACAUAAGUGACCAUAACUACUGUAACCUCACAGGUUCACCAUAGUGUUGUCUCACCUCAUACCCACCUUGUGAUUUCCCACUGAAUGAAGAUUACCUAAAUGACCAUACUACAAAUCUUCCUGAUUGAUUAUAGUUCUGUCCCAUCUUGAAACUGCCUCACUCUGCAUGGCUUUAUUCACAUACACUCUUGAAAAGUGGGGUUGACAGGCAACCUACCCCAGGGCUCUUCAGGUCCCUCUUAGAAGCUUUCUUUCUCUCAAUAAAUUCUUCCUAUUCAUGACCUCCAUUAUUCCUAAAAUUCAUUCCAUGAUCUAAACUAUGUGAACUACAUGUUCACAGACAUCUAGCAAAUAGGGGGUUUCUUUCCCCUUUAUCACAGGUACAAUUCAGUUUGAGUUAGAGUGCUGUCAGGCAAUAGUGUCCUAUCUUUUUUGUACCUUUGACAGAGAACUUUUUGUAGAUAUUAUCUGGUUCAAUUUCCAUUGUAAUCUACACUUCCUAUUGGUAUAGGGGAACAAAACUUUUGACCUACUAUAUGUCUAGUGUGAGUUUGUGUUAUCUAAAAUCAAAGAACGAGGGCCAGAGAUUUAGCUCAGCAGCACAAGUGCCUGCCUGGGAAGCAUGGGUUCAAUCCCCAAUACUAAAAAAAAAAAUUAAAAAAUUAAAAAUAAAUAAAAUUGGGGGCUGGGGAUUUAGCACAGUGGCGUAAGUGCCUGCCUUGCAAGCAGGCAGUCGUGAGUUUGAUCCCUGGUACUGAUAAAAACGAAAAAGACCAAAAAAUAAAUAAAUAAAAUCAAAGAAUGAAUUUUAGGAACGAUGGAAGUUAAGAGCUGAAAUAUUUAUUGAAAGAAAGCUUCUGUCUGAGAGAGAGACAGAAAGGGUCUGAGUUUUCAGCACAAUAAAAGAGAGAAUAUAAAUUUAAAAAUAGCCUUUAUUCCAAGGACAUGGAAAGAACUCCAUGACCACUGGCAGCCUGGCUUUCUCUGGCCUGGCUGGAACAUGGGGCAUGGAAUAUACAUAUAACCUCUGACCGGAAGCUGUGCUUAGGGCAGGCAUUGAUGACACACAGGAGCUGAUUGGAGUUUUCUUCAUGCACAAACAGGAAGGAGAGUUGUAAUUAAGGCUGAGGAAGAAGCAGGAAGUGGUAGGCAUUCCGUUUUGGCCUUCUGCCCCAUUAGACCACUGCCAUAGUUUCUACUAAGGCAAGAACCUUUCAGGGUCCUGAGUGGGUUGCCAAACAUUCUGUAUUUUCUAGGGAUUUUUAUACAGUAAAACCAUGAGGUGAGGCGGGUCUAAAGAAGGAAAACUGGAAACUCAAAAGGCAGAUGGGCAUGAGGUGGGACAGAGCUAUAGUCAACCAAUAAGUUUAAUUGUUCAGGUAAAAUUGACUGAGUUAGUGACAAAUGGGAAAUGAGUUGCAUAUCAAGCCAGCAUUCUUUAUGGAUCAGUGACUCCAUGGGGGGCAGGGAUGGUGAUUCCUGGCUUCUCAGGCUGAUCCAUACCUAAUCCCUACGGUUUAUAUUUAAAGAUGUGCUUUUUUUUUUUUUUUCUUUUUUAUCGGUACCGGGGAUCAAACUCACGACUGCCUGCUUGCGAGGCAGGCACUUAUGCUGCUGAGCUAAAUCCCCAGCCCCUUGUAUUUGUUUUGCCUUCUGUUUUGAGAUCUGGCCCACAACAAGAGAUGUGUGUCCCCUCCAAGGUCACAAUACAUUGGGUCCUCUGUGCCAGUUUCUUCAAGGGCCUGGGCCUGUCUGGCUGCCUAUAAUAUUUCUAACUAGCUCAGCUGCCUGUAACAUUCUCACCACAGUAGGAAACUGCAGUUUAGAAAAGUAAAGUGUCCAAAGAUCACAUAUCAGUAAAACUGGAACAGACCAUAAGGUCACUGUCAGCUUUUUCACUAUGUUGAUUCGGCUUACUAAGAGUUAUUUUUAAAUCCUAGUGAAAGCAGUAGAAAUGUUCCUCAGAACAGGUGAUCGACUUGUCAAAAUUAUACUUAUUCCAUUAACUAGCAUUUCUUGGGUGCCUACUGUAUAUAACUAAAACUAGAUUCUUUAUUUUUCAUGUGAAAUUUACCUAAUUUUUUAAAAAAAUUUAAGACAUAAUAUGACCUCAAUAGCUGUCCCAACAGUUUUAACCUUCAAUGCAAGAUGAUAAAUUUCUUGACAAUAAAAGUCGCUAGUACAAGACUCCUGAUAAAUUAGGCAUUCUCUUGCUCUUUGGGUGAUUUAUCACUCUAAAUUUCUUAACCCAGAGAUUUAUUUAACAUGUUAUCUUACCUUAAGCAGUAAAACCUGAGUUUAUUUUUCAGUUCUAUCAUCCAUUAUUUUUCUGAGACAGUAAAUUUACACUGUACCACAAUGUUAAAGAAGUUCAUUUCACCCCCUUCAACUUUAGGCUGGUAAUAAGAUGGUAUGGCUAAAGUGACUCCAGGAAUCAUAUGUACCGAUAAAAUUAUUCCAAGCAGAAAGCAAAACUGCUUAAGACACACGCAUUUUCUCUCCCUCUCCCUACCAACUUCCUACCCUCUCUUCUCUCUGAAAGGUUCUUGCCCUGGUAUACAUCACUGCACCAUUAUGGCGGUGGUCCAACAUGGCGGAAGGCCACAGCAGGAAUGCUUCCUCCUUCUUCAGCCCUAAUUGCAACUCCCUUCCUGUUUGUGCACAAAGCAAAUUCCAGUCCCUUCCUCACAUGUCAUCAAUGUCUGCCCCAUGCUCCACUUCCAUCAGAGAUCAUAAAACCCUCUGCCUCUCUGUAUCUAGUCGAAGGACAGAGCCCAACUGCCAUUCAUUGUUGCUCCUUUUCAUGUUCUCAAUAAAACUGGGCCUUUCUUUUUUUACUUUUUGCUUCUCUAUUGCCCAAGAAAACUUGUUAACACUCCCCCCUCCCUUCCCCGUCUGGCCUCUUCCUUGCUCUCUCCUUUGACUUUUAUAAUUUUUCCUUUUGCAAUAGUUUCAUAUUUAAUAAUCAAAUUGAAAAAAAAUACAAAGAACUCCCAAGUGUCCUACACUUGACAGUCGAUGCCUAUCUACAUUUUGCUCUGUUUACCUUAUUGUUUUAUGUGUGUUUUUCUUGAAUCAUUUAAAAAUACCUGGAAAAUGACACCAUUUAAAUCCAAAAUGUAUUAGCAUACAUGUUGAAAGAACCUGGAGAAUCCUUUGGCCACAGUACAAUUAUCAGGAUUAUGAAUUAGCACGCUAUGAUAUUUUUAUCUAGUAAUCUAAUCUGAUGCAUAUUUUAUGCUUAUUUUUUACCUUGUUCUCUUAUAUGCUAUACACAAUUUAAAGAAUUUCCAAAAGGAAUUAUAGAUAAAAGUUGCAGUGAAGGAUAGAGAAAACAAAUCGUAAUACACUGUGUAAUGGUUGAUACAUUGUGUCACUUUAAAAGUUUAGAAGUUUAACUGAGGGACUCAGCAGGGGCCAGUGUUCUCACUUUGUUAACAUCCUCAUUCUGUGCAAGAGGAGGGCACAGAGAUUGUGAGUUCUCUACCAGCCAUGAGGAACCUGGCUCCCCCGCUACACCUUUGCUCUUGCCACUGUUUUUAUCUUCUGCUGUCUUGAAUGCCCCUGUGCCAUGCCACUCUGGCUUGGAGCCAGUUGAUUGCAGACUAAAAUCUCCACAAACUGUGAGCUAAAUAAAUAUUUAUUUCCUUCAUUUUGGAUGUUGAGUAUUUUGUCUCAGCAAUGACAGAAAAGUAACCAAGACAGAAUUUGGUACCAGAAAAAGUGAGAUCAUUGCGGUGACUGUACUUGACCAUAUGGUUUAAGAGCCUUUGAGAAUGGUUUGUAGGAAGAGUUUGGAAAGGUUUAGUAGUGAUGUUACCUGAAAGAAUAGAACUGGAACACAUUAGGCUGUUCUGUAUAGGAGAUUCUAGUCAGAGCUCAGAACUUAGAGGACCAGAAGGCUGACAGAAAUCUUGCCAGUAAAAACCAGAUUGUGAGGUUGCUGCUGGGAAGGAAGGUUGUUGGAUUCCAGAUAAUGUGUAUUAUAGCUUGAUAGGAAGUUUGUUUGCAUUUUGCUCUUGUUCAGAGGCUUUGCUUGAGACUGAGAUUAAGGGUGGUGUGCUAAUUAAUCUGGCAGAAGAAAUUUCAAUUCAGUUGAAUGUUGAGACUGUUGCAUAGCUGUUGUUGAGGACUUUCAGCCAGAUCUAUGUUGAGCCCAACAGGAUGAUUGAAAAUGAGUUUGGCCAGAAAAGAACCUCCAGGGAUACUGUGGACUGCAAAGAUUAGAGCUGAGGAGAUCUUGACUGCAGAGAAGGAAUGGGAGAAUAUGACAAAUGGCCUGAGAGUAUCACAAACAGCAGCAAGUCUCCACCCUUUGUAGUAUUUAAACUGCAAAUGUGAAAGACUUUGCUUUGAGGAGAUAGCUGCAGAGCACCAUGUUCCAGAAUGGCAGAAGCAUGGCAAAUUUGUUCCUUAGAUUUGGAUUCAGAGUGCCCAGUGAUCUAGGCAUUUGACCCCUAUAUCCAAAAGAGAGAAAGCCUGGUUACUGCCCCAGCUGGCAGCAGACCUUCACAUCAUCCACAUAGUGCUGCUGUUAGGUGCAUGCAGAAUGUAAGAGUCAUUAGGUUAAAAGGGCUUUCACACUGAUUUCAGAAGGCCUGGAGCCCAGACAGUGUGCCCCUGAGAGGACAGUGUGUGAAGCUAUGAGUGUGAAGCCAAAGUUGCAGUGGAGGUCUCAGAAGUGUAGGAAAGCUAGGAAUGUAGAUUGUCUAAGGAAAGCUGACAGGAGGGAACAAAAUGGGCCUAAGAGAGAAGCCACUGGAUGUACAACCACCAGAGGUGCCAUAGGGGUGGAGGAGUCACUCAAGCCCUUGGAAGCUAACAAUCUGCCACAGAUUGCUUCAGAUGCUAGACGUGGCACUAUAAGACUUAGUCUGCCCUGCUGGAUGUGUUUGCUUUAUAUAAUUUCUUUGCAUUCCCCUAUUUGUAACUUUUGGUAUGAAAAAAAAAAUUUUUUUUUUGGUACCAAGGAUCGAACUCAUGACCUAGCAUUUGCCAGGCAGGUGCUUAUGCCACUGAGCUAAAUCCCCAGCCAGAAUGAAAAUAUUUAUCUUGUGCCACUGAAUGUUGAAAGUGUUUAACUUUUUAUUUGUACAGGGACUUGCAACUAAGAGUUUACCUUACAUCUCAGAGGAGAUUUGGGUCUUGGACUUUUCAGCAAUGCUAAAAGUAGGACUUUGGAAACUCUUGCACAUGGACUAUAUACUUUUUGCAUAAAGAGAUGUGCAUGAGUCUGUUGGGGGCCAGGGGCAGGAUGUUAUGGUUUUAAUGUAAUAUAGUAUUGAUAGAUUUAAUACUGGUUCUUAAGGAUUGUUAAAUCUAUGUUAUAAUGUUCAAGUUAUAAAAUGAUAAGAGUAAGCA
Cavia porcellus (domestic guinea pig) is the source of this 8789-nucleotide long non-coding RNA. RefSeq lists it as uncharacterized. Lineage: Eukaryota; Metazoa; Chordata; Mammalia; Rodentia; Caviidae. The record is from RefSeq and is a predicted model, not a curated record. The transcript has 2 exons.